Molecule: transfer RNA, 73 nt
Filed under: Calopogonium mucunoides
Lineage: Eukaryota; Viridiplantae; Streptophyta; Magnoliopsida; Fabales; Fabaceae
Description: tRNA-Glu
Source: RNAcentral
UCUUUCACAUUACUUUUUAUUUUCUUAUUACGACUGGAAUAAAAAUAAACAAUUUCGAAAUCUAAAUGAUUAA